Heterocephalus glaber (naked mole-rat) is the source of this 2286-nucleotide non-coding RNA. The record is from RefSeq and is a predicted model, not a curated record. Lineage: Eukaryota; Metazoa; Chordata; Mammalia; Rodentia; Bathyergidae.
GGCGGUGCGGGAGGGCGCUGGCCGCGUCCGCCCGCCGAGAGCCUCGGGUCGCGCAGCCUUCCUGAUGUGUCACCAGCACGUGGAGCCAGAACAAUCACCCUAAAGAAGACAGAUCAUAAAAAGGGAAUGAAAGCCUAUGAUGAAUGAACAAGCUGUAUACACUUGCCAUUGUGAUCAGAGAAUAACACCGUCUGUGAGAAGUCCGACAACUGGAGAGGGGCCAGAGGACAGAAGAUGAGGAAAUAAAGUGAAGUUUCAUACACAGAGGGUCCAGGCAAAAAUCCUGAGCAAAGUAGAAACCAACUGUGGACAUUUCUGCAGAAAGGAGUCCUCACUUAGAGCUUCCAGGGAACCAGCAGGAAGUCUCAUCAAAUUGGGUUCACUUUCUAUAUUUAGAGCAUCAGAAGGCUGAACAUGUCAGACAGAGUUCAGGUAGGGGCACAUGUGGAGAUUUUUUUUUUUUGGUACCGGGGAUCGAUUUUGGUACCUGCACUUGUGAGGCAGGCAGCGGAACCACUGAGCUAAAUCCCCGGCCCAAUGUGGAGAUUUUUUAAAAUUUGAUACAGUUCAGUUAUUUUCUAGAAGAACGGGGUGACUACUUCAAAUGGAAAACAUUGACUCAAGGCCCUAAAAGUUGACUGGGAAGACAGUAGCAGUGACGAUGGGAUACGAGAUGCCGCAGUAAUAAUAGGACCCCGGAUCUUGGCAGCUCCAAGCAGCAAGGCUCAGUUCUCACCUCUGCUCUUAGUCCCCUGCCUGGAGCAACUGGAGGCUCCACCCUGCAUCUGUCUCCUCUGGGACCCAGGCUGAGGGAGCAACCCUUAUGAGGGGGAGGAAGCAGUGUGGUGAGCCAUGGGUUGGCUCUGAAAGCGUCACCCACAAGUGACAAGGCAAGUCUUAUGGCCAAGGUUAACUUCAAAAAUGGUAGGCAGUACAACCCCACUCCCCAUGGGGAGGAUGAGGAGCCAGAAAUAUGUCGGGGUAGCACCACAGACUCCACAGCCCCAGGGCUGCCAGUAUCUCAUGCAGGGAAGUGCAGGCUCUGGGCAAGAAAGGACUGGGUAGAGACUCAGCACUUUGGCAUCUGACUGGGGUCUCAGGGUCGGGAGCAAGUCAGAGGCGAAGACCAGAGCAACUGGAGGCUGGGAAAAAAGCACCAGGGCAGCAGAAGCGGACGUCAUCUCCAGAACCCUAAAUAUUCAGUGAUUGAGGUGUUUAAAUACUUGGCAGUCUAAUCAUUUAAAUGGACUAGGACAACUACUUAAAGUGACAAUAUAAAUGAACAUUUGUUGGCAACAAGCUACACGCUGGGAGUGUCCAUUUGGGGAAGGGGCUGUCAGAUGUUGAAGCAGCACCUGGCAGAGAGGGGAUCCUGUGGUAUUUGCCUCGGUGCGGACAGGCAGGAGGUGUGCAGGUUGCAUGGUGCUGGUUGAGACCUCAAAAGGUUGACAGACCAUCUGGAGACAAACACAUUCCCAUGCCAAUGUGGCAACUGGGGCAACUGGCAUUUCCUCCAGAGCUACUGGUGUCAUUUGUGUGCAAAUAAUGUGAGAAAAUUUGACUCUCUGCCUGGCUUGCCAGGAGGCUCCUGGGCAGAGUUAGCUUGUGGUUGCCUGGACCUCGUGUGGGGCUGCAGUAGGAAGGACUCUCCAAGUAUGACUAUGGGAGCAUGCACGUUUUCCGGACGUGGCCAUUUUGUUUCUCAGCUCCUCAAAUUUCUACUCCUAAAGUGAAGCUGUACACUGUGAUUAAGAGCACAGACUGCUGGGGCUGGAAUCCGGGGCCCAUCGCUCUGAGGGACCUUAAGGGAGACUUGACCAUUCUGGCCUCAGGACCACUGUGUGUGAAAUAAUAUUUCAGAGACUUGUGUCCAUAUAUAAAUUAAAUACAAAGGGCUUAGGAAAGAGCAUUCGAUAAAUAUUAAACAUUUAAAACCCUAUACUACUGCCUCUGAAUUUCAGCAAAGAAUUUGUGAGCCAUUCAGAGUAUCUUUGUAGGCAAACGGAAAAACUGAGACAGGUGAAUAGUGUGGUAAAAUCCUGUGAAGUCUGGGUUGGCUGGACUCCUGACAAGGAGAGUCAUUAAGGAAUUAGUGUCACCUUUCAAAGCAGGUAUUUCGUGGUGUGACUUAAGUAAGCAAUUCGGAGCAUAAUAAAGUGAUGCUGCAGAUCAAUUUUUAAAAAGCAUCACUUGGGCUGGGGAUUUAGUUCAGUGGUUCCACCACCUGCUUCGCAAGCACAAGGUCCCAAGUUCAAUCCCUGGUACAAAAAAAAAAAAAAAAAAAAA